This 492-nucleotide ribosomal RNA is filed under the name uncultured bacterium. Its description in RNAcentral is "partial 16S ribosomal RNA". It matches the Rfam family "Bacterial small subunit ribosomal RNA", at positions 29 to 507 of the family's 1533-position model. The record is from RNAcentral.
AGUGAACGCUGGCGGUAGGCCUAACACAUGCAAGUCGAACGGCAGCACAGUAAGAGCUUGCUCUUACGGGUGGCGAGUGGCGGACGGGUGAGGAAUACAUCGGACUCUACUUUUUCGUGGGGGAUAACGUAGGGAAACUUACGCUAAUACCGCAUACGACCUACGGGUGAAAGCAGGGGAUCUUCGGACCUUGCGCGAUUGAAUGAGCCGAUGUCGGAUUAGCUAGUUGGCGGGGUAAAGGCCCACCAAGGCGACGAUCCGUAGCUGGUCUGAGAGGAUGAUCGGCCACACUGGAAGUGAGACACGGUCCAGAGUCCUACGGGAGGCAGCAGUGGGGAAUAUGGGACAAUGGGCGCAAGCCUGAUCCAGCCAUACCGCGUGGGUGAAGAAGGCCUUCGGGUUGUAAAGCCCUUUUGUUGGGAAAGAAAAGCAGCAGGUUAAUACCCCGCUGUUCUGACGGUACCCAAAGAAUAAGCACCGGCUAACUUCGUG